AUCGCUUCUCAGCCUUUUGGCUAAGAUCAAGUGUAAAAAUGUUAGGAUAAACAUCUUUAAAGUUGGGCCCGAACCAACUGAACUCAUUCUUUCUACCUUUGUACCUUCAUUUUAAAGGUAUAACUGUAUUAGACACAAGCCCAUAUACAUACAUUGUGUGUAUAUACAUAUAUAU
This 175-nucleotide small nuclear RNA is filed under the name Otolemur garnettii (small-eared galago). RNAcentral describes it as "U2 spliceosomal RNA". It matches the Rfam family "U2 spliceosomal RNA". From Rfam's summary of the family: U2 is a small nuclear RNA (snRNA) component of the spliceosome (involved in pre-mRNA splicing). Complementary binding between U2 snRNA (in an area lying towards the 5' end but 3' to hairpin I) and the branchpoint sequence (BPS) of the intron results the bulging out of an unpaired adenosine, on the BPS, which initiates a nucleophilic attack at the intronic 5' splice site, thus starting the first of two transesterification reactions that mediate splicing. Lineage: Eukaryota; Metazoa; Chordata; Mammalia; Primates; Galagidae. The record is from Rfam by way of RNAcentral.